Caenorhabditis elegans is the source of this 113-nucleotide non-coding RNA. NCBI's taxonomy places the organism in Eukaryota, Metazoa, Nematoda, Chromadorea, Rhabditida, Rhabditidae. The record is from Ensembl.
AUUAGGCUUAGGCUUAGGCUUAGGCUUAGGCUUAGGCUUAGGCUUAGGCUUAGGCUUAGGCUUAGGCUUAGGCUUAGGCUUAGGCUUAGGCUUAGGCUUAGGCUUAGGCUUAG